RNAcentral lists this ribosomal RNA (273 nucleotides) under uncultured bacterium. Its description in RNAcentral is "partial 16S ribosomal RNA". It matches the Rfam family "Bacterial small subunit ribosomal RNA", at positions 523 to 796 of the family's 1533-position model. The record is from RNAcentral.
AUACGGAGGGUGCAAGCGUUAAUCGGAAUUACUGGGCGUAAAGCGCGCGUAGGCGGUUUGAUCAGUCGGAUGUGAAAGCCCUGGGCUCAACCUGGGAACUGCAUUCGAUACUGUCAGACUAGAAUAUGGUAGAGGGUAGUGGAAUUCCUGUGUAGCGGUGAAAUGCGUAGAUAUCAGGAGGAACAUCAGUGGCGAAGGCGGCUACCUGGACCAAUAUUGACGCUGAGGUGCGAAAGCGUGGGGAGCAAACAGGAUUAGAAACCCUUGUAGUCC